AUUGAACGCUGGCGGAAUGCUUUACACAUGCAAGUCGAACGGGAGCACGGACUUCGGUCUGGUGGUCAGUGGCGGACGGGUGAGUAAUGUAUCGGAACGUGCGCAGUAGUGGGGGAUAACGUAGUGAAAAUUACGCUAAUGCCUCAUCAGAUCUAGAGAUAAAAGCGGGGGAACGCAAGCGCUCGCGCGCAUGGAGCGGCCGAGUACGUAUUAGGUAUUUGGUGGGGUAAAGGCCCUCCAAGCCAACGAUCUGUAGCUGGUCCGAGAGGACGCCCGGGCACCCUGGAACUGAGAUGAGGUCCAGACUCCUACGGGAGGCAGCAGUGGGGAAUUUUGGACAAUGUGCGAAAGACUGAUCCAGCCAUUCCGCGUGCAGGAUGAAGGCCCUCGGGUUGUAAACUGCUUUUGUACAGAACGAAAAGGUUUCUACUAAUACUAGGAGCUCAUGACGGUACUGUAAGAAUAAGCACCGGCUAACUACGUGCCAGCCGCCGCGGUAA
This 500-nucleotide ribosomal RNA is filed under the name uncultured bacterium. Its description in RNAcentral is "partial 16S ribosomal RNA". It matches the Rfam family "Bacterial small subunit ribosomal RNA", at positions 30 to 523 of the family's 1533-position model. The record is from RNAcentral.